UACAGAGGUCCCGAGCGUUGUUCGGAUUCAUUGGGCGUAAAGGGUGCGUAGGCGGCGGGGCCAGUCUGAUGUGAAAUCCCGGGGCUCAACCCCGGAACUGCAUUGGAUACUGCCUUGCUCGAGUACUGGAGAGGGAACUGGAAUUUACGGUGUAGCAGUGAAAUGCGUAGAGAUCGUAAGGAAGGCCAGUGGCGAAGGCGGGUCUCUGGGCCGAUAUUGACGCUGAGGAGCGAAAGCGUGGGGAGCGAACAGG
Molecule: ribosomal RNA, 253 nt
Filed under: uncultured bacterium
Lineage: Bacteria
Description: partial 16S ribosomal RNA
Rfam family: Bacterial small subunit ribosomal RNA
Source: RNAcentral